Molecule: ribosomal RNA, 274 nt
Filed under: uncultured bacterium
Lineage: Bacteria
Description: partial 16S ribosomal RNA
Rfam family: Bacterial small subunit ribosomal RNA
Source: RNAcentral
AUACGAAGGGGGCAAGCGUUGUUCGGAAUAACUGGGCGUAAAGCGCACGUAGGCGGAAUGUUAAGUUAGAGGUGAAAUCCCAGGGCUCAACCCUGGAACUGCCUUUAAUACUGGCAAUCUCGAGACCGAGAGAGGUGAGUGGAAUUCCGAGUGUAGAGGUGAAAUUCGUAGAUAUUCGGAGGAACACCAGUGGCGAAGGCGGCUCACUGGCUCGGUACUGACGCUGAGGUGCGAAAGCGUGGGGAGCAAACAGGAUUAGAAACCCUAGUAGUCC